Molecule: long non-coding RNA, 512 nt
Filed under: Ovis aries (sheep)
Lineage: Eukaryota; Metazoa; Chordata; Mammalia; Artiodactyla; Bovidae
Description: lncRNA (ENSOARG00000026717.1)
Source: RNAcentral
GGAGAAUUAAUGCAGACACAAUUGAUUCAAUGAUGAAUCAGCAUUAUCCAUCCUCAGAAAGGAAAACUUGCUGGAAUAUUCAAGAAGCGGUUAUGGGAAUUGGUGCAAUCUCUUUGCAGAAUAAUUUGGCAAGAUCUAUCAAAGCUGCAGAUGUACACGCAUGGCAACACACAGGUCCAGUCCUAGAUGCAGAAAAACCACACAGCAGGAGAAAUUCACCAAGAAAGUUCACUUCAACGUUGUCUGUAAUUGUUAAAAAAAAAAAGGAAAACAGCGUAAAUGUCCUUUCAGUGGGGAAGAAAAGGUAAAAGUGAGACUAUAUUCAUACCACAGCAACCUAUUAAUACUGUACUAGUAAUACCAUUAUGUGUUACCAUCCUGCAUGAUACAGUGCUAUACCACACCAGGCCAUACUAUAUGGCAGUUGAAUGAGCUGGAGCUGCGUAUGCCAACAUGGUAAAUCAUUGAGCAAAACAUAUUUAUUAGCAAAGAAAUGCACACCCUAUGAUGCC